GUGCCCUGAGUUCUAGCUCAGACCCCGAGUGCUAUGUUUACACGUGCGACGACCCCUUCGCACCAUUGCACCAGGCCCCGAGUUCUAGUUCAGACCCCAACGCUACGUUUACAUGCACAACGACCCCCCUUUGCACCAUUGCACUGGGCUCUGGGUUCUAGCUCAGACCUCAAGUGCUACGUUUACACGUGCGAUGACCCCCCUUUGCACCAUUGCACCAGGCCCCGAGUUCUACCUCAGACCCCGAGUGCUACGUUUACAUGCGCGACACUUCCCCUCA
Non-coding RNA from Chelonoidis abingdonii (Abingdon island giant tortoise), 280 nucleotides. The record is from RefSeq and is a predicted model, not a curated record. NCBI's taxonomy places the organism in Eukaryota, Metazoa, Chordata, Testudines, Testudinidae.